CUUGACUUUCUGCCGCCGUUCCGUCUGACAACAGCAUACUCACGUUACUCCAGGACUGGAGAGUCACUACGAGGUGUGUGUGGAAGCUAGGCUAACUAGCUGAGCAAACUUAGCGCCCUUGGAAGCGGAAGGAGUUUUCACGGUGUCAAAAUUGUGAGGAGAAAAGGAGGAGAGAAUUAAAGUUGCACCAGUCGAAGCUCUCUGCAUCUUGUGUCAUUAAUCCAAAUGGGCCGCUACACUAGUUUCUACUAAGGUGUCCCAUGAAUAUACAUACUAUUCUAGCCCAACACUGAACCCUCUUUUCCUCCCGGUGAUCCACAAGAACCUGGUGAUCAAGUGCGGCUGUCACUCCACACAUCACAGACCGGCUUGCAUUUUCCAGGCGUGCGUCCCAUCGAGCGUGAGAAUAUUCAUGAAGGCAAAAGAUCUGAUAAAUAGGAAACACAAGCAAGGCCAGACCAGGGACUCUCCAUGCUGGGAAGACCCAAGACCGAAGCCCAGUCAGCUGCUUGCCUCUUAACCCUUCCGAGUCCAGGUUAGUUUUGUUUACCUCUGCACCAGGGGUGUCCAAACUUUUUCCACCGAGGGCCGCACACUAAAAAAAUCAAAGCAUGCGGGGCCAUUUUGAUAGUUUUUAUUUUUAAAACCAGUACAGUAUUUAGAUUUUUUUAAACUUCAGUCAGUCAUUUGAAUAAGUCGUAUAUUUUCAAUGGAAACACGAUACCACAGUCUUGUUUUUAUUUACAGUACAAUUUGGGCGACUGAGCUGACUGUUUUUGUGUGAAAAAAACCCAUUGUGACUG
Long non-coding RNA from Entelurus aequoreus (snake pipefish), 803 nucleotides. RefSeq lists it as uncharacterized. The record is from RefSeq and is a predicted model, not a curated record. NCBI's taxonomy places the organism in Eukaryota, Metazoa, Chordata, Actinopteri, Syngnathiformes, Syngnathidae. The transcript is spliced from 5 exons.